Molecule: ribosomal RNA, 137 nt
Filed under: Campylobacter jejuni
Lineage: Bacteria; Pseudomonadati; Campylobacterota; Epsilonproteobacteria; Campylobacterales; Campylobacteraceae
Description: partial 23S ribosomal RNA
Rfam family: Bacterial large subunit ribosomal RNA
Source: RNAcentral
AGCAUCUAAGCGUGAAGCCAACUCUAAGAUGAAUCUUCUCUAAGCUCUCUAGAAGACUACUAGUUUGAUAGGCUGGGUGUGUAAUGGAUGAAAGUCCUUUAGCUGACCAGUACUAAUAGAGCGUUUGGCUUAUCUUU